Molecule: long non-coding RNA, 690 nt
Filed under: Callithrix jacchus (white-tufted-ear marmoset)
Lineage: Eukaryota; Metazoa; Chordata; Mammalia; Primates; Cebidae
Description: lncRNA (ENSCJAG00000075955.1)
Source: RNAcentral
UAAAAAGUGGUGUCUGGAACCACCCUAAGCAAGUUACCUAAGCUCUCUUGUCUCUCUUUUCCCCUUUGUAAAAUAGUGAUAGUAACUCUAUCCCUUCCAAAGGUUAGUUGUGUAUAUUAAGUCAAUAUUUAAAACAAACAAACGUAACAGUCUCUGGGGUGCAAUAAUGUUUAGUAUAAGUUAAACAUUAGUUUUAAAAACUAAAUCUAUUUCUUUCAGACCCAAGGUGGCUGGGCAAUAGAAGUAAACUCUGUUAUUACAUAGGCAAAUAAAAACCACUUUCAUUUUGUCCUCUUUCCAUUUUCAAAAUGUAAUUAAUAUCAUUAUCUUGUUAGGUCAUACCUCCUGUCCUCAAACCUGCUGUCAUUUCUCCAUGAAGAAUUGUCCUUGAGGAGCGACUUGGCCCCUGGCCUUGGCCUGCUUCCAGCCUUCUGCUUAUUUCCUUGGACCUGCUGUGUGAUCUUCACAUCAUAGCUGUGAAAUAGUGAAUCAGAAAGAGGGAAGUUGAGAUGUCUGGACUGCUAAAAACAAACAAAACGACAACAACAACAACAAAAACUCAUCCCUGAGAGAGCCACUCUGUGUUUUGCUGAGAUUGUUGGUUCAAAAGCUGGGUGGAGAGACUGCCAGACUAGAGGACUAGCCAAUACUGCAUUGUGACUGAGAUUCAGAAAAGGAACAAUGGCACAA